This is a long non-coding RNA of Telopea speciosissima, 233 nucleotides long. RefSeq lists it as uncharacterized. The transcript is spliced from 2 exons. Lineage: Eukaryota; Viridiplantae; Streptophyta; Magnoliopsida; Proteales; Proteaceae. The record is from RefSeq and is a predicted model, not a curated record.
UAAGUUGCUAAAAACGGUUCUAAAAUACUCGUGGACAUAAGGAAACUUUGUUUUCAGGCUCCAGCUACUGAGGACAAUGAUGAUGACAUUGAUCUCUUUGGGGAAGAGACAAGAGAGGAAAAGAAAGCCGCUGAAGACCGUACUGCAGCUAUCAAAGCAGCUAGGAAGAAGAAUGAAUCUGGAAAAUCCUCUGUUUUGUUGGAUAUAAAGCCCUAGGAUGAUGAAAUCGACAA